CUCACCAGACACCAAAUCUGCCGGCACAUGAUCUUGGACUUCCCAGCAUUUAGACUGCCCUGAAUCCACCGUAGUGCAACAUCUUCAGCAUUACCUGAAACCUCUCGUAGAAUUAUGCUGAAAACUGGUGCAGCCACUCUGGAAAACAAAUCGAUAUCUUACUAUCAACAACUUCUUUAAAAUAACAGGCCUAAGUAUUCUACUAAGUAACUUUUAAGGACUUGAUGAUAUCAUCUUGACUUUUCCAUCAUACAUUCUAUGUAUGUUAACAGCAUCAUCAUAUUACUAGUUCCUGAAUUUUUUCCUACAUUUUUAUCUAGCUAGCUUCCAGAGAAGCCUGGGCAAAAUGGAGCACAGGAUAAGACAGCUACAACCUGGCUGAAUAACACGAAUAAUCGUGUAAGCUGGAUGAAGCAACUGCAUAGAUAUUAGAUAUUGUUCACAUAUUAUAAUGUCUAAAGGCAAAGAAAUAUCUUAUGUUGCCUCUUAAGAUGGAGUAAACUAUCCCAGAAGCCCCACAGCAGAUUUACUUAACAGCAGACAACUCACUGGAUAGUACUGCAAAUGUGCUCAUGGCAAGAAGAAAAAAUUCCAGGCUAUUGUUUCCUCUUUAUGGGUGAGAAAACCUAGGUCCCCAAGCCGGAACUAUGAAGAGAGGGACCACGUGACCACAGGACACCAUGAGAACAUGCCAACUGAGCUUCCCAUCAUGCACUGUUUGGUUUUUAUUAAUCCACUAAACCCUAAACCUGGGUUUGGUCUGGAUACAAUCAUUGGAAUUGCCUGGAGCAAGUUUAAAUACUUGUCACGAAAGCUGCUGGGCUUCAUCACUUUGUAUCCUAGCUGCAUCCAAGCCUGAGGCGGUGGCCACUUGACACCAGGAGCCACUUAAUGUCCCUUUGGAUCUGGAGCAGAGAAGCAA
Molecule: long non-coding RNA, 922 nt
Organism: Canis lupus familiaris (dog)
Lineage: Eukaryota; Metazoa; Chordata; Mammalia; Carnivora; Canidae
Exons: 8
Source: RefSeq, a predicted model, not a curated record